UCGAGAAUCUUCCGCAAUGGGCGAAAGCCUGACGGAGCGACGCCGCGUGGAGGAAGAAGGCCUUCGGGUUGUAAACUCCUGUCAGAGUUUAUGAAAGCAGGCGGGUUAAUACCCCGUCCUGUUGACAAAGGACUCAAAGGAAGCCACAGCUAACUUCGUGCCAGCAGCUGCGGUAAUACGAAGGUGGCGAGCGUUGUUCGGAUUCACUGGGCAUAAAGGGCGCGUAGGCUGUCCUAUAAGCGGCGUGUGAAAGCCCGGGGCUCAACCCCGGAACUGCACGCCGAACUGUAGGGCUAGAGGACGAGAGGGGAGUGUGGAACUCUAGGUGGAGCGGUGAAAUGCGUAGAUAUCUAGAGGAACGCCGGUGGCGAAAGCGACACUCUGGCUCGACCCUGACGCUGAGGCGCGAAAGCGUGGGUAGCAAACAGGAUUAGAUACCCCCGUAGUCC
Molecule: ribosomal RNA, 449 nt
Filed under: uncultured prokaryote
Description: bacterial SSU rRNA
Rfam family: Bacterial small subunit ribosomal RNA
Source: RNAcentral